UUGAAGGCAACGUCCAGAAGGAGAACGGAGAAGGAGAAGGUCCAUCUCUCGGCUUCCAACCUCAACCCAACAUGGAAGCCCACCAAGAAAACAAGACCUGGGAAUUGAUGCCGUCCACGCAACUCUGGGGUGGCUUAUUUCGUUGGCUCCUCGAAGGCCAAACCAACCACCGAAGGCCCACGUGGAUGGAGAACUCGGCAGCCAAAACCAUCAUGAGAACUUCCAA
Thamnophis elegans (Western terrestrial garter snake) is the source of this 226-nucleotide long non-coding RNA. RefSeq lists it as uncharacterized. The transcript has 2 exons. Lineage: Eukaryota; Metazoa; Chordata; Lepidosauria; Squamata; Natricidae. The record is from RefSeq and is a predicted model, not a curated record.